This is a long non-coding RNA of Ictalurus punctatus (channel catfish), 2936 nucleotides long. The record is from Ensembl. Lineage: Eukaryota; Metazoa; Chordata; Actinopteri; Siluriformes; Ictaluridae.
GGGAACAAAUGUAAAAUAAAGAUAUCCUGUACCAUGUAAGAAUAAAAAGAAAGUAAAUGAGUGUGAAUGCAAUAUCUAUCUGAUAAGGCAGCGCGUGUGUGUGUGUGUGUGUACACACUAUACCUGGUUGUUAGAGAUGGACACUCGUAGAGGAGACAGCUUCCUCUGUUUGCUGUCGUUGUUCGGUUUACUCUUGGGUCCUUCACAGUCCAGGGUGAGGUUCUGGUUCUGUCCGGCCUCGUCCCGAAUCGCCGGCUCUUUAUCUUUCCUUCCUCUGCGCCGUGUAGCAGAACCCAGGUUCUCCGUUGGCUCCAGGUUGUGUUUGAGAACAGGACAUUCCUGAUUCCCUCUUACACAUGCACAGUCCACCUUAUAUUUACUACACACACAGACAGAGAGAUGAGUGUCAAAGAGGGUGUACAUGGUUAUUCUAUACUUUUUUGAGAAGGUGAAUGUUGCUGAUUUUUGAAGGUGAAAUGUUGGGGUCUGAAGGGGAAUGUUGAAGGGGAAUGUUGGGGUCUGAAGGGGAAUGUUGAAGGGGAAUGUUGGGGUCUGAAGGGGAAUGUUAAAGGCGAAUGUUGGCGUCUGAAGGGGAAUGAUGAAGGGGAAUGUUGGGGUCUGAAGGGGAACGUUGAAGGCAAACGUUGGGGUCUGAAGGGGAAUGUUGAAGGUGAAUGUUGUGGUCUGAAGGGGAAUGUUGAAGGGGAAUGUUGGGGUCUGAAGGGGAUUGUUGAAGGCGAAUGUUGGGGUCUGAAGGGGAUUGUUGAAGGCGAAUGUUGGGGUCUGAAUGCGAAUGUUGAAGGUGAAUGUUGGGGUCUGAAGGGGAAUGUUGAAGGUGAAUGUUGGGGUCUGAAGGGGAUUGUUGAAGGCGAAUGUUGGGGUCUGAAGGGGAAUGUUGAAGGUGAAUGUUGGGGUCUGAAGGGGAAUGUUGAAGGUGAAUGUUGGGGUCUGAAGGGGAAUGUUGAAGGUGAAUGUUGGGGUCUGAAGGGGAAUGUUGAAGGCGAAUGUUGGGGUCAGAAGGGGAAUGUUGGGGUCUGAAGGGGAAUGUUGAAGGUGAAUGUUGGGGUCUGAAGGCGAAUGUUGAAGGUGAAUGUUGGGGUCUGAAGGCGAAUGUUGAAGGCGAAUGUUGGGGUCUGAAGGGGAAUGUUGAAGGCGAAUGUUGGGGUCUGAAGGGGAAUGUUGGGGUCUAAAGGGGAAUGUUGAAGGCGAAUGUUGGGGUCAGAAGGGGAAUGUUGGGGUCUGGAAGGGGAAUGUUGAAGGUGAAUGUUGGGGUCUGACGGCGAACUUUGGGGUGAAUGCUGCUGUUCGAUGAUGUACAAAAUGCACUCAACUUUAAGAAUGUGUGUGUGUGUGUGUGUACUCACCAGUUGCUGUAGUCGUAGUCGAACCCGAUGGUGAUCUCACUGCCUUUGAUUAUCGACCUUAGCGAGUAGAUGUAUAAGUGCAACAUGCCAUCCUCGAUCACAUGACGCACCUGAGGCAGGAACAGGAGAUAAUGAUUGCACGCUGGAUUCAGGUCGCAGUUAUUGUAUAACAUGGUGUGGUGCUGUUGGUGAUCGCUCACCUCUGCGUUGGGUGUGCAGGAUCGGCGAAUAAACCGCGCUUCGUUUCCAAAGCUGCGCGCAUCCACACACAUCUCCAAACCGUCAAACUUUGAGUAAAACAAUACGAACGGGUACGGCCUGCGGGGACACGCCACGACACAACACCUCAACACACUUCCUGUCCACCUAUUUAUGGUAAUUUAUGGUAAAAUAAACAGACAGUUAUGGAGCUCUUUACCUCUUAAAGAAGUAGCCGUUAGCCUCAAACUGCUGGCGGAGCAUGAACUUCCCCCUGUACUCGAUCAGCAGAGCGUCUGCUGCUAAAUCCCUCACCGCCUUCAGGAUACGCUUAUUCUUCUGCACCUGACUCUGAAACACCCCCAAACAAUCAACAUACACACUCCUACAGUGAAGCUGUGUGUGUACCUCUACAGGUGGUCUGAAGGCAGUGGAGGUGUGUGUGUACCUCUACAGGUGGUUUGAAGGCAGCGGGGUGUGUGUUGUACGCGAGUGUUUUGCCGUCCCGAGCCUCUUUGACACGCAGCAGCACUCGCACGUCAUCGCUGUAUUGAUUGGUGCUCGCCUCCUCGUAGCGCUCCAUCCACGUCUUCACCUUACUCUCCCACAGAGACGGAGAGUCCAUGGGCUCACACUCCGGAGCUGAGCCCUGACACACACACACACACACACACACACACAUUAACAUACACUAUCAAACUGCAAACCAUUACUACACACACAGCAAAUACAUCAGGAACACAAACACACACACGCACACAAACGAUCCGCAUACGCAUACGCAUACACACGCUCAUACGCAUACACAAGCACUCACACACAAAGACACACACGUACACACUCACGCAUACACACGCAGUGUUUAGUGCAGUACAGUCAUGUGACACACCUUGACUCUGUUGGAUUUCCUGGAGCCUUCUCUAAACGCCUGAACAAUGGAGAUAUGAAGACAGUAAGAUACAACACAUCUCACUCCAGCAACUCUGUGUGUGUGUGUGUGUGUGUGUGUGUGUGUGUGUGUGAGUGAGAGUGUGUGGACCUUCUUGGCGCGGGCGGGCGGGGCCGGCUCCUUCUCUCCGCUCUUCUUGCGUUUUUUGUCGUUCUGCUUGUUGCCGAGGCGGCCGGUGGUGAGCGUGAUGCUGCUCGGCGUGUGUUGGAAGGUGGUGUAGAGCUCCAGAGGAACUUCAUCACCACUCUCUGUAGCACUGGUGUCUCCAUCUGAAACACAUACACACACACUCUUUAAUCAUGGUUCUCAACAUAGCUCCAGUACUUCGAUUUUCAAAACAGCGCAAAAGAAAAUAAAAAGUUUUUUCUGCAAUAUUGAGUGUUUAAUGUAAAAUACUGAGUGUUUAAUGUAAAAUGUAAAAUAUU